RNAcentral lists this ribosomal RNA (305 nucleotides) under uncultured bacterium. Its description in RNAcentral is "bacterial SSU rRNA". It matches the Rfam family "Bacterial small subunit ribosomal RNA", at positions 334 to 656 of the family's 1533-position model. The record is from RNAcentral.
UGUUCCUACGGGAGGCAGCAGUGGGGAAUAUUGCACAAUGGGGGAAACCCUGAUGCAGCGACGCCGCGUGAAGGAUGAAGUAUUUCGGUAUGUAAACUUCUAUCAGCAGGGAAGAAAAUGACGGUACCUGACUAAGAAGCCCCGGCUAACUACGUGCCAGCAGCCGCGGUAAUACGUAGGGGGCAAGCGUUAUCCGGAUUUACUGGGUGUAAAGGGAGCGUAGACGGCAUGGCAAGCCAGAUGUGAAAUACCGGGGCUCAACCCCGGGACUGCAUUUGGAACUGUUAAGCUGGUGUGUCGGAGAG